RNAcentral lists this ribosomal RNA (1755 nucleotides) under Deltaproteobacteria bacterium. Its description in RNAcentral is "partial 23S ribosomal RNA". It matches the Rfam family "Bacterial large subunit ribosomal RNA", at positions 3 to 1632 of the family's 2925-position model. Lineage: Bacteria; Pseudomonadati; Myxococcota; Myxococcia. The record is from RNAcentral.
CCAAGCUACGAAGAGCCAACGGUGGAUGCCUUGGCACUGACUACCGAUGAAGGUCGUGAGAGGCUGCGAUAAGCCACGGGGAGCUGCCGACUAAGCGUCGAUCCGUGGAUGACCGAAUGGGGAAACCCAGCACCCGUCAUGGGGUGUUACUCCCGUCUGAACACAUAGGGCGGGGAGAGGGAACCGGGUGAACUGAAACAUCUAAGUAACCCGAGGAAGAGAAAGCAACAGCGACUCCCUGAGUAGCGGCGAGCGAAACGGGAUCAGCCUAAACCUGUGUGGUGGAAAGCCUGACGGCGUUGCCACAUGGGGGUUGUGGGAACCGAUGGGACCGGCGUCAGACGGUCCACGGAGUUACAAAGCGAGUGGGUAGUGGAACGGUUCUGGAAAGGCCGGCCGCAGCGGGUAACAGCCCCGUACACGAAACUCAUCUCGCCUCCGAUCGGAUCUCCCGAGUAGCGCCGGAUCCGGGAAAGCCGGCGUGAAUCUGCGAGGACCACCUCGUAAGGCUAAGUAUACGUCAGUGACCGAUAGCGAACUAGUACCGUGAGGGAAAGGUGAAAAGUACCCCGGGAGGGGAGUGAAAUAGUACCUGAAACCGUUGGUUUACAAUCAGUCAGAGUGUCGUCACUUCGGUGGCCACGAUGGCGUGCCUUUUGAAGAAUGAGCCUACGAGUUACGGUGUGUGGCAAGGUUAACCCGUGAGGGGGAGCCGGAGCGAAAGCGAGUCUGAACAGGGCGUUCAGUCGCAUGCCGUAGACCCGAAGCCGAGUGAUCUAGCCAUGGGCAGGGUGAAGCGGAGGUAAGACUCCGUGGAGGCGCGAACCCACUUCGGUUGAAAACGGAGGGGAUGACCUGUGGUUAGGGGUGAAAGGCCAAUCAAACUCGGUGAUAGCUGGUUCUCCGCGAAAUGCAUUUAGGUGCAGCGUCGCGUGUUCAGCCAUGGAGGUAGAGCACUGGAUGGGCUAGGGGCCCUACAAGGUUACCGACCCCAACCAAACUCCGAAUGCCAUGGCUCCAGAGCGCGGCAGUGAGUCCUCGGGGGAUGAGCUUCGAUGGACGAAAGGGAAACAGCCCAGAUCACCAGCUAAGGCCCCUAAUUCUGUACUAAGUGGUAAACGAUGUGGGAUUGCACAGACAGCCAGGAGGUUGGCUUAGAAGCAGCCACCCUUGAAAGAGUGCGUAACAGCUCACUGGUCGAGUGAUCCUGCGCGGACAAUGUAACGGGGCUCAAGUACAGAGCCGAAGCUGUGAAUUCCUGCCUGGCAGGAGUGGUAGCGGAGCGUCGAUCUCGCAGUGAAGCGUCGGUGGAAACCGGCGUGGAGCGUGGUCGAGUGCGAAUGUAGGCAUGAGUAGCGAGAGAGGGGUGAGAAACCCCUCCGCCGGAAGUCCAAGGGUUCCUGGGGAAGGCUAAUCCUCCCAGGGUGAGUCGGGAGCUAAGACGAGGCCGACAGGCGUAGUCGAUGCACAACCGGUUGAUAUUCCGGUACCACCACAUUAUGCGCCCAUGUCGAAACGACCUUGCUAAGGGGAUGCCGCUGGCCAUUCGGCCGGCGGACGAACCGACCCAGGUCGUGGAGGCAAGCAAUGCGGGGACGCAGGAAGGUAGGUGAGCCCAGGCGAUGGUAGUCCUGGGGUAAGCGUGUAGGGAGAGGUCCAGGUAAGUCCGGCCCUCAUGAUCCUGAGACGCGACGCCGAGCCGAAUCAGGCGAAGUCACUGAUCCUAUGCUGCCGAGAAAAGCCGCUAGCUAGCAC